GUAGGGUGCGAGCGUUGUCCGGAUUUAUUGGGCGUAAAGGGCUCGUAGGUGGUUGAUCGCGUCGGAAGUGUAAUCUUGGGGCUUAACCCUGAGCGUGCUUUCGAUACGGGUUGACUUGAGGAAGGUAGGGGAGAAUGGAAUUCCUGGUGGAGCGGUGGAAUGCGCAGAUAUCAGGAGGAACACCAGUGGCGAAGGCGGUUCUCUGGGCCUUUCCUGACGCUGAGGAGCGAAAGCGUGGGGAGCGAACAGGCUUAGAUACCCUGGUAGUCCACGCUGUAAACGGUGGGUACUAGGUGUGGGGUCCAUUCCACGGGUUCCGCGCCGUAGCUAACGCCUUAAGUACCCCGCCUGGGGAGUACGGCCGCAAGGCUA
RNAcentral lists this ribosomal RNA (372 nucleotides) under uncultured bacterium. RNAcentral's name for it is "bacterial SSU rRNA". It matches the Rfam family "Bacterial small subunit ribosomal RNA", at positions 527 to 896 of the family's 1533-position model. The record is from RNAcentral.